GAUGAACGCUGGCGGCGUGCCUAAUACAUGCAAGUCGAGCGAACUGAUUAGAAGCUUGCUUCUAUGACGUUAGCGGCGGACGGGUGAGUAACACGUGGGCAACCUGCCUGUAAGACUGGGAUAACUUCGGGAAACCGAAGCUAAUACCGGAUAGGAUCUUCUCCUUCAUGGGAGAUGAUUGAAAGAUGGUUUCGGCUAUCACUUACAGAUGGGCCCGCGGUGCAUUAGCUAGUUGGUGAGGUAACGGCUCACCAAGGCAACGAUGCAUAGCCGACCUGAGAGGGUGAUCGGCCACACUGGGACUGAGACACGGCCCAGACUCCUACGGGAGGCAGCAGUAGGGAAUCUUCCGCAAUGGACGAAAGUCUGACGGAGCAACGCCGCGUGAGUGAUGAAGGCUUUCGGGUCGUAAAACUCUGUUGUUAGGGAAGAACAAGUACAAGAGUAACUGCUUGUACCUUGACGGUACCUAACCAGAAAGCCACGGCUAACUACGUGCCAGCAGCCGCCGCAG
This 514-nucleotide ribosomal RNA is filed under the name uncultured bacterium. RNAcentral's name for it is "partial 16S ribosomal RNA". It matches the Rfam family "Bacterial small subunit ribosomal RNA", at positions 28 to 523 of the family's 1533-position model. The record is from RNAcentral.